This 342-nucleotide non-coding RNA is filed under the name Pan troglodytes (chimpanzee). The record is from RNAcentral. Lineage: Eukaryota; Metazoa; Chordata; Mammalia; Primates; Hominidae.
UCAUGGGAGAAGCGCUAAACUUUACCUCAACAUUUAUGUAAAAUUAAAGCUGCACAGAUUCUAAGUCUUGGAAGUUUAUUUCAAAGAAAAGACAAUGCCUGUGCCACAUAUUUGACUUGGUUUUAUAAAUAUUACGAAGCUCCAGGAAAUAUGAGCAGGAUCUCAAAUAUAUUCAACAAGCUUCCAAUUUUUGUCUUUUGAGAUGGUUGCUCUUGGAAAACAGAAAUACGCUUCAAGAUGUCAAGCCUCCUCUGCUGAUGCCGUAUGGAGAACAGACAAGCUUUCCCAUCAAGCCCUAACCAAACUGCACAACUGUGAAUAAAAUCAAUAAUUGUUAUGAAA